UGCGUAGGCGGAUUAAUAAGUCAGUGGUGAAAUCUUUCGGCUCAACCGAGAAACUGCCAUUGAUACUGUUAAUCUUGAGUUCGGUUGAGGUAGGCGGAAUGUGUAAUGUAGCGGUGAAAUGCUUAGAUAUUACACAGAACACCAAUUGCGUAGGCAGCUUACUAGACCGUAACUGACGCUGAGGCACGAAAGCGUGGGUAGCGAACAGGAUUAGAUACCCUGGUAGUCC
Molecule: ribosomal RNA, 229 nt
Filed under: uncultured bacterium
Lineage: Bacteria
Description: partial 16S ribosomal RNA
Rfam family: Bacterial small subunit ribosomal RNA
Source: RNAcentral